RNAcentral lists this RNase P RNA (336 nucleotides) under Clostridioides difficile. RNAcentral describes it as "RNase P RNA component class A". It matches the Rfam family "Bacterial RNase P class A". From Rfam's summary of the family: Ribonuclease P (RNase P) is a ubiquitous endoribonuclease, found in archaea, bacteria and eukarya as well as chloroplasts and mitochondria. Its best characterised activity is the generation of mature 5'-ends of tRNAs by cleaving the 5'-leader elements of precursor-tRNAs. The record is from RNAcentral. Lineage: Bacteria; Bacillati; Bacillota; Clostridia; Peptostreptococcales; Peptostreptococcaceae.
UAAGUAAGCCAGAUAAUCGCAUGUAAUCUUACAUGAGGAAAGUCGGAGCUCCAUAGAGCAGGGUGCUAGGUAACGCCUAGUGGGAGCGAUCCUAAGGAUAGUGCAACAGAAAUAAACCGCCCACUAUUGUGGUAAGGAUGGAAAGGCGAGGUAAGAGCUCACCAGCAGCUAGGCGACUAGUUGGCUAUGUAAACCCCACCUGGAGCAAGACCAAGAUAGGAAUAAAGAGUGCUGCUCGUACUCUCCGGUAGGUAGGUCGCUUGAGCCUAUUGGUGACAAUAGGCCUAGAAAGAUGAUUAUCUAAUACAGAACUCCGCUUAUAGACUUGCUUAAUUA